GGGUUGUGAGGUUAAGCGACUAAGCGUACACGGUGGAUGCCCUGGCAGUCAGAGGCGAUGAAGGGCGUGCUAAUCUGCGAUAAGCGCCGGUAAGGUGAUAUGAACCGUUAUAACCGGCGAUACCCGAAUGGGGAAACCCAGUGUGACUCGUCACACUAUCAUUAACUGAAUCCAUAGGUUAAUGAGGCGAACCGGGGGAACUGAAACAUCUAAGUACCCCGAGGAAAAGAAAUCAACCGAGAUUCCCCCAGUAGCGGCGAGCGAACGGGGAGGAGCCCAGAGCCUGAAUCAGCAUGUGUGUUAGUGGAAGCGUCUGGAAAGGCGCGCGAUACAGGGUGACAGCCCCGUACACAAAAGCGCAUGUGCUGUGAGCUCGAUGAGUAGGGCGGGACACGUGGUAUCCUGUCUGAAUAUGGGGGGACCAUCCUCCAAGGCUAAAUACUCCUGACUGACCGAUAGUGAACCAGUACCGUGAGGGAAAGGCGAAAAGAACCCCGGCGAGGGGAGUGAAAAAGAACCUGAAACCGUGUACGUACAAGCAGUGGGAGCCCCACCACCAAAGCAUUUGCUGUACCGCGUUGACGGAGCGAAGCGACGUCAAACCGAUAAAACAGCAGUGUAAAGUGAGCCGCAGGGCGCUUUGCGCGACAGCGCAAAGGCAGGCGGUUUCGCGUAGCGAAAGCGAAUGCUUUGGGGUGGGGUGACUGCGUACCUUUUGUAUAAUGGGUCAGCGACUUAUAUUCUGUAGCAAGGUUAACCGAAUAGGGGAGCCGGAGGGAAACCGAGUCUUAAUUGGGCGUUAAGUUGCAGGGUAUAGACCCGAAACCCGGUGAUCUAGCCAUGGGCAGGUUGAAGGUUGGGUAACACUAACUGGAGGACCGAACCGACUAAUGUUGAAAAAUUAGCGGAUGACCUGUGGCUGGGGGUGAAAGGCCAAUCAAACCGGGAGAUAGCUGGUUCUCCCCGAAAGCUAUUUAGGUAGCGCCUCGUGAAUUCAUCUCCGGGGGUAGAGCACUGUUUCGGCUAGGGGGCCAUCCCGGCUUACCAACCCGAUGCAAACUGCGAAUACCGGAGAAUGUUAUCACGGGAGACACACGGCGGGUGCUAACGUCCGUCGUGAAGAGGGAAACAACCCAGACCGCCAGCUAAGGUCC
This 1154-nucleotide ribosomal RNA is filed under the name Salmonella enterica subsp. enterica serovar Enteritidis. Its description in RNAcentral is "partial 23S ribosomal RNA". It matches the Rfam family "Bacterial large subunit ribosomal RNA", at positions 1 to 1047 of the family's 2925-position model. Lineage: Bacteria; Pseudomonadati; Pseudomonadota; Gammaproteobacteria; Enterobacterales; Enterobacteriaceae. The record is from RNAcentral.